GGACGGGGGAGUAACGCGUGAGAAUCUGUCUUCAGGUCGGGGACAACCACUGGAAACGGUGGCUAAUACCGGAUGUGCCGAAAGGUGAAAGGCUUGCUGCCGGAAGAUGAGCUCGCGUCUGAUUAGCUAGUAGGUGUGGUAAGGGCGCACCUAGGCGACGAUCAGUAGCUGGUUGAGAGGACGAUCAGCCACACUGGGACUGAGACACGGCCCAGACUCCUACGGGAGGCAGCAGUGGGGAAUUUUCCGCAAUGGGCGAAAGCCUGACGGAGCAAUACCGCGUGAGGGAGGAAGGCUCUUGGGUUGUAAACCUCUUUUCUCAGGGAAGAAAAAAAUGACGGUACCUGAGGAAUAAGCAUCGGCUAACUCCGUGCCAGCAGCCGCGGUAAUACGGAGGAUGCAAGCGUUAUCCGGAAUGAUUGGGCGUAAAGCGUCCGCAGGUGGCAAUGUAAGUCUGCUGUUAAAGAGCAAGGCUCAACCUUGUAAAAGCAGUGGAAACUACAUAGCUAGAGUACGUUCGGGGCAGAGGGAAUUCCUGGUGUAGCGGUGAAAUCCGUAGAGAUCUGGAAGAACA
This 574-nucleotide ribosomal RNA is filed under the name Calothrix sp. LCRSM-1425. Its description in RNAcentral is "bacterial SSU rRNA". It matches the Rfam family "Bacterial small subunit ribosomal RNA", at positions 100 to 708 of the family's 1533-position model. The record is from RNAcentral. Lineage: Bacteria; Bacillati; Cyanobacteriota; Cyanophyceae; Nostocales; Calotrichaceae.